GUGGGGAAUAUUGGACAAUGGGGGGAACCCUGAUCCAGCCAUGCCGCGUGUGUGAAGAAGGCCUUUUGGUUGUAAAGCACUUUAAGCGAGGAGGAGGCUACCGAGAUUAAUACUCUUGGAUAGUGGACGUUACUCGCAGAAUAAGCACCGGCUAACUCUGUGCCAGCAGCCGCGGUAAUACAGAGGGUGCAAGCGUUAAUCGGAUUUACUGGGCGUAAAGCGCGCGUAGGUGGCCAAUUAAGUCAAAUGUGAAAUCCCCGAGCUUAACUUGGGAAUUGCAUUCGAUACUGGUUGGCUAGAGUAUGGGAGAGGAUGGUAGAAUUCCAGGUGUAGCGGUGAAAUGCGUAGAGAUCUGGAGGAAUACCGAUGGCGAAGGCAGCCAUCUGGCCUAAUACUGACACUGAGGCGCGAAAGCAUGGGGAGCAAACAGGAUUAGAAACCCGAGUAGUCC
Molecule: ribosomal RNA, 451 nt
Filed under: uncultured bacterium
Lineage: Bacteria
Description: partial 16S ribosomal RNA
Rfam family: Bacterial small subunit ribosomal RNA
Source: RNAcentral